This is a long non-coding RNA of Carlito syrichta (Philippine tarsier), 275 nucleotides long. RefSeq lists it as uncharacterized. The transcript has 2 exons. NCBI's taxonomy places the organism in Eukaryota, Metazoa, Chordata, Mammalia, Primates, Tarsiidae. The record is from RefSeq and is a predicted model, not a curated record.
AAAAAAAAGGCAACAAGCAUGCUGGGACCAUUCUGUCUGCUGUUUGGGUCUCACUUGUCCUGACAACUAAAAAUCAGCAGUGGAAAGGUAGGAUAUACUGAGAAGACAGAAAACCUCCCACAGUGGGAGGGGAAGUGACGAGGUUGCCCAAUGCAAAGCACUUUCAAUCAAAAUGUGAUACAUUAGAACCCAAGGAGUCUGAAUCCAAAAUUCAGUGCUUGAACUGAACAUUAAGCCUCCUCUGUAAAAUAAAGAAAAUAUUGGAAAGAACAACA